GACGAACGCUGGCGGCGUGCUUAACACAUGCAAGUCGAACGGCAAGGCCCUGCUUUUGUGGGGUGCUCGAGUGGCGAACGGGUGAGUAACACGUGAGUAACCUGCCCUUGACUUUGGGAUAACUUCAGGAAACUGGGGCUAAUACCGGAUAGGAGCUCCUGCUGCAUGGUGGGGGUUGGAAAGUUUCGGCGGUUGGGGAUGGACUCGCGGCUUAUCAGCUUGUUGGUGGGGUAGUGGCUUACCAAGGCUUUGCCGGGUAGCCGGCCUGAGAGGGUGACCGGCGACAUGGGGACUGAGAGACGGCCCAGACGGCUACGGGAGGCAGCAGUGGGGAAUAUUGCACAGUGGGCGGAAGCCUGAUGAAGCAACGCCGCGUGCGGGAUGACGGCCUUCGGGUUAUAAACCGCUUUCGCCUGUGACGAAGCGUGAGUGACGGUAAUGGAUAAAGAAGCACCGGCUAACUACGUG
This 468-nucleotide ribosomal RNA is filed under the name uncultured bacterium. Its description in RNAcentral is "partial 16S ribosomal RNA". It matches the Rfam family "Bacterial small subunit ribosomal RNA", at positions 28 to 507 of the family's 1533-position model. The record is from RNAcentral.